CCUUCCCCCUCAGGAGCAGGGCCUGCUGACUUUGUGGCUUGCUUACUUGGCUCGUUUGGGACUUAUUUUUAAGCAAAGAGGAUGCUUUUGAUUUGGAACUCAGAAACAGGUGUGCAAGGGAAAGAUUUGUGCCUGAUAGAUGUCAUUGAGAGCAGCGUGGGGAGAGAGAACAGUGUGUGCCUGAGCUGCUGGUGUCAGAUUGUUUGAUAUGUUCUUCAGGAGGCCGAGGGUGAGGAGGAGUUUGCACACACUGCUAUCUGUCUGCCUCUGGUUUUCCUUCUGUAAGAGAGAAGUGACACGAGAUGGAAAGGUAUCCAGAAAAUCACAAAGCAGAGUUACAGCCUGAAACUGAAGCCCCAAACCACUUCUGAGUGGCAGGUUUAAAAGCAGCUGAGAAACAAAAGGUCUGUCAGCUCGUUUAACUGCUCAGAAAACACCGAACAAGAAAUAAAGCCCAAUUAAGAAUGAAGAGAAGGAAGAGGCUCGGUGUAAUAGAUUGUUUUGAGAUGACCACUUCAAACAACGGUUCUGCUUUCUGAUGCAUUAAGACUUGGAAAUUUGCCAUCCAUCACAGCUGUGUGUUUGAGCCUGUGUGAUUAUUUUGGGAAGUGAACCAUGGUGAUUUGUGUGUAUGUGCUUUAUUGGCGGGCAGGAUGUUCCCUAUCUACCUCUCCCUGGCUGUCUGCAUUUGCAUUGGUUAAUAAAAUGUCUGAUGUUCAAUGACUUUCUGAUGGGUGAACAAGAUUUGGCAUACAGGAUGUAGUAGUUUUUCACGAAGGCUAAAAUUUCAUCCUGGGAGACUGAACCCUCUGUGGCAGCCAUACACAAUCCAUAAUAACAGAAGCUUUUAACCCAUCCAUAAUUGCUUUCAUAUAGAAAAUGAUUGCUGUAAGUUAACUUCAUAAUUCUAAAUCAGUGGCUCUCAGUAGGAGUUCAGAUGCUUUAAUUUGCCCUGAAUUAUCUUUAACUCACAGGCAGUUCAUCUAUGCUCUUUUCUGAUUAUGUUCCUUGUCACUCUGACCCAAACUUUGUCUGCUUAAUUUUUGUUUCCUCUUUCUGAAAUUAGACCAAUUUCCAGUGAUAUUUCACCAGUGGGGAUGACAGUGAGUGGGUGAGGUACUCUCACUGCACACCAGCCCAUGCUCUGAACCUGUCCUGUGUUACUGACAUGGCCAACUGGAGUUCUUCCCCUGGGAUGAAGGUGUGGGUACUCCCAAUAGAAAGGGAGAGCACCCCAAGCAAGGCCAUCACACUGGUGGUUUCUGGGCUGGUUCAUGCCAUACUUCCCUUUCUUUGGCUAUGGAGAGAAGGGAAGGACAUUGUGGCUGUCUCUGUGUGUACCCAGCACCUGGAGGCUUCCUGGGCACAGCGUUUGAUGAACUGGGAUGGCACAUACAGCACAGAUGUGGUGGCAAUCUGGGGGUGCCUCCCUGAUGAGGACAAAGCUCCUGGCUGGGUUGUUUGGCAGUCCCAAAACCAGCAGGGUGGCCACUCCUCCCCUUAUGGCAGCAGGCAGCUUGUGUGAUUUUGAGUGACAGCAGAUGAAGGGCUUGCAUUACGCCUUGUCUCUGGAACUGCACAUCUGUGUCAGCUCCUUGCUAAAUCAAUAAACAGGAUGCUGAAGGAAAAAUACUUUCAGGCUUCUCAUGUCUUUAUGCAUCAAACCGAUUGGGCAAUGAGAACUUGGGUGGUAGCAGGGGUUCUGGUGGCUCUGGGCUGAUGAACUUCCUGUCAAAUCAAAGGUGAGGGCUGGGUCCUGGAAAGUGCUGGCAGGUUGUUCCCCUGGUUAUGUGGAUUCCCUUCCAGUGGUAGUUACUUAGCAAUUUGGAUAGAAAUUUUCAACCUAGGAGCCUAUGGUAGAGCAUCAAGAAGUGGAGAAAAAUCACUUUGCAUGUUCCAACAGACGAACAAAUUACCUAUGGAAAUGCACUUGGGAAUAUUCCUCAGUAAUUGGAUUUCAGCUGUUGUUUCAGUGUAUGUGCCCCCGGGCUGUGGAGGUAAAAGGACUCCACUGAAAUGCUUUGAAAUGUUCUCUGGCACCUACAGAACGUGUUUACUAUUAAAAAGUGAAACCUGCAAGUCAGAACGCUACUAAGUGCAGUUUAAAAACAAAAUUGCACCCCUGCAGCAUAGCUCAGGGUGCUGAAGCAUCUGGUUUAUCCAGACAGUCUCUACCCAGAAACAUUCCUGUGACUUGAGUGGAGAAGUCGUGUCUGUGUCUUCUGCCAGGCUAACCUGGGCACAGCUGUGGUGUGCAGCAGGGAGCAGAGCAGGAACCCUUGAACCAUGGCUGCUUUGAGCUGGGGAGUCCACAGGGCCUGGA
Molecule: long non-coding RNA, 2323 nt
Organism: Passer domesticus (house sparrow)
Lineage: Eukaryota; Metazoa; Chordata; Aves; Passeriformes; Passeridae
Exons: 4
Source: RefSeq, a predicted model, not a curated record